UGUAAGUUGAAAAGGCCAAAAGAUAAAAGUCAAGUUCGUCUUAGAUUCCAUGUUUGAAAUUAGGACAUAAAUCAAUGCGAAUUUUGAAACCAUGUUGUAUAGUGCGACUGUUUUGGCGAUAUUAAUACACAUAGCUUCAAGCAUUACACAGGACUGCUUCUUCUUCCCUGAUAGCCGACUAGAGUGUGUGGAAUAUAUCGACAUACAAAAAGCCAAACAUGGAUGUACAACUUUAAAAGAUUCCGUCAAAGUUACCGGGACAUCAAAUGAUAUAGAUGGUGAUAAGUGGAUUGAAAUCAUCGAAACUAAAGGAGAGGGAGAAAGUACGAAAUACGUAAGACUAAAAAAUGGAGAUUGUUCCAAUAACUGCUGCGAUAAUUUGUUGAGAUCUG
This is a long non-coding RNA of Mytilus trossulus (common blue mussel), 392 nucleotides long. RefSeq lists it as uncharacterized. The record is from RefSeq and is a predicted model, not a curated record. The transcript has 4 exons. Lineage: Eukaryota; Metazoa; Mollusca; Bivalvia; Mytilida; Mytilidae.